RNAcentral lists this ribosomal RNA (520 nucleotides) under uncultured Glomus. Its description in RNAcentral is "SSU rRNA". It matches the Rfam family "Eukaryotic small subunit ribosomal RNA", at positions 569 to 1091 of the family's 1831-position model. The record is from RNAcentral. Lineage: Eukaryota; Fungi; Glomeromycota; Glomeromycetes; Glomerales; Glomeraceae.
AGCAGCCGCGGUAAUUCCAGCUCCAAUAGCGUAUAUUAAAGUUGUUGCAGUUAAAAAGCUCGUAGUUGAAUUUCGGGGUUAGUAGGUUGGUCAUGCCUCUGGUAUGUACUGAUCUCACUGAUUCCUCCUUCCUUAUGAACCGUAAUGCCAUUAAUUUGGUGUUGCGGGGAAUUUGGACUGUUACUUUGAAAAAUUAGAGUGUUUAAAGCAGGCUAACGCUUGAAUACAUUAGCAUGGAAUAAUGAAAUAGGACGUUUGAUUCUAUUUUGUUGGUUUCUAGGAUCGACGUAAUGAUUAAUAGGGAUAGUUGGGGGCAUUAGUAUUCAAUUGUCAGAGGUGAAAUUCUUGGAUUUAUUGAAGACUAACUACUGCGAAAGCAUUUGCCAAGGAUGUUUUCAUUAAUCAAGAACGAAAGUUAGGGGAUCGAAGACGAUCAGAUACCGUCGUAGUCUUAACCAUAAACUAUGCCGACUAGGGAUCGGAUGAUGUUAAUUUUUAAUGUACUCAUUCGGCGCCUUAC